Molecule: long non-coding RNA, 1364 nt
Filed under: Triticum aestivum (bread wheat)
Lineage: Eukaryota; Viridiplantae; Streptophyta; Magnoliopsida; Poales; Poaceae
Description: long non-coding RNA (TAES_LNC000479)
Source: RNAcentral
CCGGUGCCUCGAAAGAGGGAAGUUUAUGGGCGCGCGCUACCCUGAUCAGGUAGGCGAACAUAAGCCUUGUGUGCCCGUUGUUGUUGUAAGGAUGCUUGUCCCCGUUUGGGACCGUUUAUGUUUUGCCACGAUGGUGGCCGGCCACGUAGGCGGCGGAUGUCACGAGUUGACAUCAGGGCCACCCAGGACUUAGCCCAAAGGGGAGUUUGUCAGAGUGGCUGGGAGGGUGUGAUGGCAAUAGAUCGGUUUUGUCGGAAUGUUGUUGGUCCACCCGAAUGGGAGUGCGAGGCCAUGGAUUCCGUGGUGUGGGUACAGUGUACUAACCUCUGUAGAGUGUGUGUGUAAACCUAUCGAUAGCCGCGCCCGCGGAUAUGGGCCCAGUUCGUAGUUGGUCACACUAUGAGCCAACUCUAAUAAUAACUUGAUUAAUAAUAAUCCCGGUUCGAUGAUGAGAAAGAGAUUGGUUGUGAUCGAGAGAGGAUCAUGGAGGUAUCAUGGAUACCGAAGUUGGUUGGUUGAUAUUUAUGUGAUCGCGAGAUGAUCACGGUGGUAUCAUAGAUACCGAAGUUGGUUGAUAUUUAUGUGAUCGCGAGAUGAUCAUGGAGGUAUCAUGGAUACCGAUGUUGGUAAGUUGAUGCAUGAGAUGGUUACGAGGUACCACCGAAGAAGAGUAAAUUGGUGCAUGAUAUGGUUUACCUAUUGAAUGUAGUACCAUCAUGUUCAUAUGCUCAUGGCAUGCUAAUGUUGUUUUAGAUUUAUCAUGUUCAGUUUGUGUAUGCCAUGAAUCAUGUUCAUGAUUGCUUUAACCUUCUAAUGCCAUGUUGUUUUUUUGUCUUGACUGGUUUUGGUUAAUUGUGAGCUUGCAAGUACAUUCAAUGUACUAACCUAGCGUGCCAUGCCAGUUUGCAGGUCGUGCCUGGAUUGCUUGCUUGUUUGGUGUGGUUCCUGUGUUCGCGAGCUAGGAUAAACAUUCCAACCAGAGUCCCCGCGGAUUGGAGUCCAUCAUUGUCGUUCGUUGUUCCGCUGACAGUAGAGGUUCCGCUGCCCCCAAUUGUUAUGUUGCUUGCAUAGAGCAACUAUGGUUGGCAUAGCGUCGCCGUGCUGGUGUUAUUCAUUGUAAUAUUGGAGACCUUGUAUUCAUAUUCGUGUUGUAAUAGAGAGUUGGUUUUUUCUAUGCUAAGCAGUGCCGUAUUCUGGAAGACUUCACCUUGAUCUCUAGGAUGGAAUACAGGGCGUUCCGGUUUCUCUGAGCCGGGGUGAGGGAGUCCUGGAUUAGGGGGUCCCCGGGCGUCCGGGCUAUGUGACAUGGGCUGGACUGGUGGGACGUGAAGAAACAAGAAAGAAGGCUUCCCCCGUGUCCGGAU